GCAGUCUUUUGUUGAGUUUUCAGCUGGCCCUUUCACUCUGACUUUGCUGUCGUAACCACAGUCCCACCAGAGUGAGCCUUGUUCCUGACAGUCAUGCAACAGGCAACCUUAGAGGGUCAAGGAGGUUCUUAACCAUAAACAUUGAAGGUGGCGGAAGGGGAAGAGAGAAGGGAGAAAGAUGUGACCAGGACAGUAAGUUACCAGGCAAAGCUGAGCAGUUGUGACAGCCCACAGCGUUGGAAAAAUCUGCAGAAUUUAUCAUCUGACCCUUUCCAGAAAACGUGCGCCGAACCCUAACCCAAGGGCAUCAGCCAGGAGCAUGGAUGGCCCACCACAUCACCUCUUAGAAGAGAAGACAGGACAAUUCAAAGAUUCGGGCCUGACGGAAGGAAGAGGCAGGGAAAGCAGAAUCAACCUGGAGAGCCCACUGCUUGCUUCCAGGUCCCUGGAAGUGAAGCCGCAGACAGGAGCCUCAGGAAGGAGGAAACCCUCGCCCUUAUUCGUAAACACACGACAGCGGCUCAGAGAACUCCGCGGCUAACGGCAACUUGUGUGUUGCAGCCAAGAAUCUGGGGCCAGGAGGCGGCAAGAAGGAAGCCGUGAUACACUCUCCCUCCCUCUGUGGCGGGGCAGCCAGGUUUGGAUUUGGGGUUGGGGAGGAGGGAGAACAGAAGGCUAAGCCCCAAACAGGUGCUUUUCAUUUGGGGACAUGUGUCCUGGAUUUUCUGGGACAGUACCAAUUUCUUCUAAUUUGAUUAUUUUCAAUGAGGGCAAUUUGUUCGACAUCUGAUCUUGAGUUUGGAAAACGACGGCCACUACGCUUAUAACUUAACGAGGGCACCAGCUCAGCCUCUGGUGUGAAACCCUGCUCUCAACACAGAGCACUCUAUCCAGCACAUCACAGGUUUAGAGCCAGAUUUGCGGUCUGCGUGUGUGUGCGGCUCUCGGAACUGGCUGUUUUAAGCUCACCCUGAGUUCUGUUUUAUGGUGCCCCCCCGCCUUGUUUUUCUUCCUCACCUCGUUCUGCUG
Molecule: long non-coding RNA, 1029 nt
Organism: Prionailurus viverrinus (fishing cat)
Lineage: Eukaryota; Metazoa; Chordata; Mammalia; Carnivora; Felidae
Exons: 6
Source: RefSeq, a predicted model, not a curated record